AAUGAACGCUGGCGGUAUGCCUAAUACAUGCAAGUCGAGCGAACGCACGGUAAGCGCGCUCCUCUGCUGUUGGCGAGUGGCGGGCGGGUAAGACAUGCAUAGCCAUCCUCUAUUACUUGGGGAACAUCGUAGGACCGCUUCUGAUACUAGAUAAUACGUUGUACGGCUUGGAGCAAGAGUUCAUGGGAGCUUUGCUGUUAGAUUUAGAUGGUUCCGUGUUGGAUUAGCUAGUUGGUAAGGUAACGGCCCACCAAGGCGACGAUGCGUAGCUGAUCUGAGAGGAUGAUCAGCCACACUGGAACUGAGACACGGUCCAGACUCCUACGGGAGGCAGCAGUGGGGAAUAUUGGACAAUGGGCGCAAGCCUGAUCCAGCCAUACCGCGUGGGUGAAGAAGGCCUUCGGGUUGUAAAGCUCUUUUGUUGGGAAAGAAAAGCAGCAGGUGAAUAUCCCGAUGUUCUGACGGUACCCAAAGAAUAAGCACCGGCUAACUUCGUG
This 497-nucleotide ribosomal RNA is filed under the name uncultured bacterium. Its description in RNAcentral is "partial 16S ribosomal RNA". It matches the Rfam family "Bacterial small subunit ribosomal RNA", at positions 29 to 507 of the family's 1533-position model. The record is from RNAcentral.